CCAUUUCCUUGUUUUAGGCACUGGUUUAGCUGGUCAAAGUGGAUAACUUGUCGGCUGGAUAACUGCAUUGUGUGGUAUUUGAUACAGGAACUGGGAGAGGAAAUCAUCCAGGCUCUUAAGAUCUCGCACCCAGCUCUGGAAAAACAUUAGUGGCUCACCGAGUAGUAGACUGGACAAUUGGAAAUGCCAUACUAGCCAAGAGGAUAUUUUCUGCCCCUUUAUCCUGGCUUGCUUGUAUAUCUUUCAUCAAUCCCGCCAUGGCUUGGUUGAGCAUGAGCUUAAAUUCACUCAAGGAAUC
Long non-coding RNA from Nilaparvata lugens (brown planthopper), 298 nucleotides. RefSeq lists it as uncharacterized. The record is from RefSeq and is a predicted model, not a curated record. The transcript is spliced from 3 exons. Lineage: Eukaryota; Metazoa; Arthropoda; Insecta; Hemiptera; Delphacidae.